AGAGUUUGAUCAUGGCUCAGAAUCAACGCUGGCGGCGUGCCUAACACAUGCAAGUCGAACGCGAAAGUGGAGCAAUCCAUGAGUAGAGUGGCGGACGGGUGAGUAACGCGUGGGUGACCUACCUUCGAGUGGGGGAUAACGUCCCGAAAGGGACGCUAAUACCGCAUGACAUCCUGUCCUUGAACGGACGGAGAUCAAAGCUGGGGAUCGUAAGACCUGGCGCUUGAAGAGGGGCCCGCGUCUGAUUAGCUAGUUGGUGAGGUAACGGCUCACCAAGGCGACGAUCAGUAUCCGGCCUGAGAGGGCGGACGGACACACUGGGACCGAGACACGGCCCAGACUCCUACGGGAGGCAGCAGUGGGGAAUUGUUCGCAAUGGGCGCAAGCCUGACGACGCAGCGCCGCGUGGAGGAUGAAGGUCUUCGGAUUGUAAACUCCUGUUGCUCGGGACGAAAAGCUUCGACCUAACACGUCGAGGUCUGACGGUACCGGGUAGGAAGCCCCGGCUAAUCUGUGCCAGCAGCC
RNAcentral lists this ribosomal RNA (525 nucleotides) under uncultured Acidobacteriota bacterium. RNAcentral describes it as "bacterial SSU rRNA". It matches the Rfam family "Bacterial small subunit ribosomal RNA", at positions 8 to 516 of the family's 1533-position model. The record is from RNAcentral. Lineage: Bacteria; Pseudomonadati; Acidobacteriota.